Long non-coding RNA from Lathyrus oleraceus (garden pea), 1945 nucleotides. RefSeq lists it as uncharacterized. The transcript has 5 exons. The record is from RefSeq and is a predicted model, not a curated record. Lineage: Eukaryota; Viridiplantae; Streptophyta; Magnoliopsida; Fabales; Fabaceae.
CGAGCCACCGUGUCGGACGUCGCUCCUGGCGGCGGUGGCCACCAAAACAACAACUGAAGCCAUCACUAGGAUUCGCUCUUCACACUCUAUUAAACUCUCCAUCCAAUUUCUAGAAAUUGAGAACCUAAGGACCUAACCGAAGCUAAAUGUUCCAAGAACCCUAAUACAACAAAUCCAAAUUAAAUCCCAUUCUCAAUGGUUAAAAACCCCAGUGAUGAGGGCUUUGAACCCUCUCACCAUAACCUACACAUUGGUAACAAGAAAAACGAAGGACCAGGAGAUUUUUGACAUACCUUACCGGAGAAGACGGUGUAAACGGCGACGAACUUCCAGGAUUGAAUGGCUUAGAUGAAGCUUGGUCUUGGACCAUGAUUUAUGCAGCAUAACUAGGUUGGUUUUUGCACAUGCUGCAUGACAGGUUUCCAUUUGUCCUUGACAUUAUAUUGGUAGGUUUGUGGUUAGUCACAGGGAUGUUGUGCAGGAUUAGUGCAUUUCCAAUUGCUUCUUGCUGCACCAGUUUGCAGGGUAGCAAAUAAUGGAUGAAAGGUCAUGGUAUUCUAGGCUUGCAAAGUGCUUAGCAGGUUCUUACGUUAUUUCUAGCAAUAGGUUAAAGCCAAUUGAGAAAUGCAUUGCAGUGACAUCAUGAUUCUCAUGUCCACUGCAGGUUACUAGGUUCCAAUCUUGAGCACCUUGGCAUGUUCAGUACUACUGCAGGUUCUUGGAGCUUGGAUAUGUUGCAAGUCUGGUGUGGUGCAGAAUUAGAAUGCACUGAUUCAGGAUCCCUAUGGUUGACUGCAACCUUCCUUUGGCUUGUGCAUUGAUGAUGUUGGCAGCGUGUUACGAUAUACUACAGGUCAUGUUAGCUGCAGGUAUGCAGAUGGUUUUGCAUUGCCCUGCCUAGGUAUGAAGGUUGCACAUCUGGUUUGGCUUCUUCCUUUUUUUGGGUAUUGAUUUAUGUGGUUAUUGUGUCAACUCUAUUUUUGAACUACAAGGUGCAUUGCAGAAUUGGGUAUGUUGCAGUAAACAGGUAAGACCAAUGUGUUGAUGCAGGAUCGUGGUCAUGGUGUUGAUACAAGUUAUGGACUUGGAAUGAUGGUGAUAUGGUGGUCCUGGUACAAGCCCUUGCUACAUCAUGUGGGUGUAAUAACAAUGCAAAUGGUAGCAUGUGUGAAUUUGAAGAUGGAUCAACUAGUUGUUUGAUGGACUAUUGUUUGGAGUUUUGUUCAAUGCUUGUACUGAAAACUACUGCGACCUGGAUGUAUUUGUGUCAUUGAUGAUAGCAAAUGCUAGUUGGACUGUUGUGCAGAAUGUUGUGCAACUUGAAAUGGCCAUGUGGAGGUUUAACAUAUCAUGUGUGUUGCGGGUUUUGCUCAUGGUUUGCAAGUGAUUGACCCAACCAGUUUGUGCAGCUGCAGGAUGACUUCUUCAUGGCUUGUUCCUGGUUAUGCUGUUAUGGUUGGAUGUUGGUUGUUGAAUUGUCAAUGCAGGCUUGAUGUAUGAAGUGAAGUGAGUCCAGGUUGUGGCUUUGGUAGUUUGUUAGAUGGUGUUUUGUUGGUUCUGCAUUGUAACAGUUUUAUUCAAGUCAUGGCAAGUAUUGUGUCAUUUCCCUUGUCCAAUUAAUGUUUGUGCAUUAGGUUUGAUGAUGGCCUUGCAUUUUUGACUUGUAUUCUGCAGCCUAGGUGCAUCAUGGUUUAUGGCCUUCAUGUUUGAACAAUAUAAUGAUAUCAAGGUUGGAUUUUAAGGUAACAUGUACAAUUGGUUGUUCAAGGAUCAAAAUAGAACAUGGAAGAUUAGGGAUUGGGAAUUUUAGUUUUUAGGAUGGAAAGGGCUUGGGUUGACUUUGGUCAACAUUGACCAAAAAGUCAACACUUGGUCAAAGUUGCGAAAACUUGUAAUUUUUCAUGUAAUGAUCAAUGUAAUGGCUUAUAAAUGGUUAUAUGGAAGU